AACUGGCCCUCGUCAUGCUAGGAAGUGUGAGGGCAAGAGCUGGAAUACACUGAGGCAGCCUUGCUGUUGGGGGUUAUUGGCAGCUGUUGGGGGUUAGAGACAGGACUCUCAUGGAGAUGUUCAAGAAAAAGAACAACUUCAGUGGAAGAAGAAGAAGAUAGGAGCCCAGGUCCUGUGUUUCACCAAGACAGCCGUGCAAAGCAGAUGCUGCCAAAAAGGUGCAAAGUGGUUUGUCAGCUCUUCUGCAUGUUCUAACAAAUUAGACAUGCAUCCCAAAAGGUUUCCUAGACUUUCCAUCACCACCAGUGAAUUCUGAGUGACAAUAGUGUGGAAUUUGGAAGAAUGGAAGAGAAACUGAAGUGGAGAGAUGGUGAAAGAGAAGAAAAAAUGAAGAAAGAUGCUUGCAAAAAUACUGCUGUGGGUCCUGAGAUGAGGAUUCUGGGAGGGCUGAAAUGGAUGCCCCUGACAGCUCCCUUUGAGUUCCUGUUCAUCUGAAGUACACCAGCUUUCUAGAUAUGCUGUCACUUUCCUUCUGCAGAGCCACAGUGGUGUCCUGUCUUCUCAGACCUCUUCUCACCUCAAAUCACUUAGGACUCGGCCACCAGACAGAUUUGGGAUUUCAGAACUUUUCAGAUGUUAGAAAGGUAAAUGGUAUAUAUUGCAUAUGUAGUAUUUCCAGUAGAGUCUGGGUCAGCACCUCAUAAGCAAAUGUAUUAAUAUUUUGACCACAACAUAUAUGCAU
Molecule: long non-coding RNA, 742 nt
Organism: Homo sapiens (human)
Lineage: Eukaryota; Metazoa; Chordata; Mammalia; Primates; Hominidae
Product: long intergenic non-protein coding RNA 2615
Source: Ensembl